Long non-coding RNA from Taeniopygia guttata (zebra finch), 2853 nucleotides. The record is from Ensembl. NCBI's taxonomy places the organism in Eukaryota, Metazoa, Chordata, Aves, Passeriformes, Estrildidae.
UUUUUUUUUUUUUUUUAUAAACUAAACCUGAUGGAAUGUUGCGUAAGCAGGUGCAGGUCACCAAACAGCUUUUAGCAUAUGUGCAGUUGAUCAUUACUGUACUUUAUUCACACAAAAGCAGCAAUGGAUUAACUCCACUUUUCAGAUCUGGAAGUCGCUGAGAAAGUAAAGUUCUCCCUAGGUAGUAUGAGCUGCCUUCAGCCCACCACACCAAUCAUAACAAAGCAUUAAAUUCUUCCUAGAAUCCAGACCUGCAUUACCUCCCACAGCUGCACAUCCCUGACAGAGAUAUUUGGCUUUCUUAUGGGCUAAAGCCAGGUCUUUAUUCACUCUCCUGGUUUAAUAUUACCAUUAAGCAUUAUGGAAAAGUGGGGACUGCAAACAGCACUGGCUCAGGCUUGCAACAGAAACACAACAAUUUGCAUAACAAUAAAUACUUACUGGCCCAGUUUUACCAGUGUGAGAGGUUAAAGUUUUUGGACAGCAAAGAACAGUUUAUCAGGUACCCCAAAUGCUCUGCACCUGAUCAAAUUCAGACCAGGGAACGUAGGCAGCAACAACUGCGUCAGCUGAACGUUAGUUCAGGGUUCUGAUUUCUUGAUGUGUUGUGCUCUGAAACGGCUCUUCUAAACAUAUGGCUUACCUAAUUGAGGGUUUGGACUAGCACCAAAAUUACAAAUUGCGUAUGCAGGCUGAAAAUACAAUGAUAUAUGCAUUAUGGGAAACCAAAAAUAGAGGAUGAGACUGAGGGAUCAUAAAAGCAAAAGAAAGAAUUAAUUAUGAGGAAAAGAGAAGUAGUUAAUUAAAAUCAUGAGGCUUACAAUCAGAGCUGGAAAAACUAAAACUGAAAUCCCAGCAACUCGGCAUGCUCUGAUUCACAUCCAAACGACUCCAAACACAGCUGUGAGAAGGAAAUAUGUUCCAUUUGCCUGCUCUUGCAGGCAUCCUCCCCAUGCAGAGAAAAUGCACAAGCAAGCAAUUCCAAAAGUGACUCUCCAGCACUCUGUGGGGCGUGGAACAGCCAGUGAAGCACACUGCAUCCUGCCUGGGAGCUGUGCUGGAAGGGCUGCAUCGCACAGCUCAAAUGCUUGGCACAGCAUCCAGAUAAAUGUCUACUAAUGAAAUUCACUUAACCAGAAACACUGACUGGAAACAGUUUAGAAUCAACCAUUACAUCACGCUUCCUUACUGAUAUUGAUACAAAUGUGACAGCUGUUUACCUAAACAGCCUGUUCUGAAACAUCUCUCAUGCUGAUAAGAGUCCUGAAUUCAUGUGAAUUUUUUUGUUUUGACUACAAGCUAAGUUUCAUUUUCUAUUCACAUUAUUCAGCUCAUUUUUUAAAGCAUUAAACCUUAAGGCAAUUGCAAAUACAAAUAUUCUCAGAAAUCCAAGUCACAAUGUUUUGGGUUUUUUUCUAUCUCCUUAUCGGGUUUGCUUUGAAGGUUUUUCUGCUAGAGCAAUUUCUUUCAGCUCACUUUUGAUUUUUCUGAACUUUCAAUGCAUUAUUAAAAACAAUUUUUACCUGGAAUACAUAAUUGCCUGGGGCUUUUUUAGUCAUAUUAGAUGAAAAACUCAGAUUACGGAAUAUAAAAUGUCAGUUUUCACAUUAAGCAAAUCCAAAUCCUAUAGGCAGGCAAACUUAAGAAUUUGUCUCCUACAAUAUCUUAUUCUCAUUUAGAACAGCUAAACAGAAAUGAAUAGAGUAGCACGUUAUUAAAUAUUACUACUUUUUCUUGCAUUUUGUGGGCUAAGGAAUGCAAAGCUGUUUCAUUUAGAGGACAACACCCCUUAAAAUACAGUGACAGAUGGCAACAUUGCAUAUAUGUGUGAGAAGAAUCGGGUCUGAGCACAGAGAAACACAGCACCCCAAAUGCAGUAAACAAUUAUCCUUUAUGCCUUUCUGUGUUUGUUUUAGAAAGCUCCAGAAUGUACUAGGUAAUACUAGAGCUAGCACCAGAAAAUGCUGUCAGCAAACACACUGGAAUUAAGGAGAUUGCCUAGGAAGUUUAGCAGCUCACUUCCAUGGAAAGAAAUGGAGGCAGCUUGAGAGGAGGGAUUGCUGAAACUCUGACUUCACAGCACAGCUCAUGACUGCUACAGGAAUUCUCCAGGUGAGACUUUCAGCCAGUCCCAGGGAUUCCCUCAGGCAGCCUGUGCCAAGCAUUUACCACCUGACAGGUGCUCCUGAAUCCUUCAGUGCUUCCAUAACAUUGAGAGAGGGACAGGCGUGUCUUAGCAGCUUCCUCAGGUAGCCCCUGGUUUAGAAGCAAAUUCUACCCUUUUUCAGUAGAGAAGACACUGUCAGAAGAGACCUCCUGCAGAUGAAAGAAUUGUCCCAUAUGGCUCUCUCCUGGUGAAACAGUGUGAAGUUUUGCACAGAACUUCAAGUAAUUGAAGGAAACAUCACACACAAAUUGGAGUCAUCAGGCAGAACCACAGGCCAGCUGGAUAGAUGAGUUCAGCAGAACAACAAAACUGUCCAGGGAGUCUUAGCUCAAUCCAUCAAGUCACCAUGCCAGGAUCAUAAGAUUAUCUAAAUAAGCUUCUUAUUUUAAUGAGCUCCCAACUCUGACUUCAAUACAAUCAGCCCUCCAGAAGUUUCAGGUUCUCCUGAGAAGCUUCAAACUCUUUUGUAUUGUUUUGGCCAAAGAUAGUUGUAAACAUCACGUGACUUGUAUCUCACUAAAUGAUCCAAUUCACUGACGGAGAAUUGAAUAAUAUACACAAUACAAAUACAUAAUUUGUUAUUAUGGGCAAAAAUCUAGGUAUGUCAUUGUAUAUGGGAGUCUAAAAAAGUAGUUAUCCACAGUGGAACAAAAUGAGUUGGGAGAACUUUCUGAACAACUACAGAA